This is a long non-coding RNA of Macadamia integrifolia, 2921 nucleotides long. RefSeq lists it as uncharacterized. The record is from RefSeq and is a predicted model, not a curated record. Lineage: Eukaryota; Viridiplantae; Streptophyta; Magnoliopsida; Proteales; Proteaceae. The transcript is spliced from 3 exons.
AGAGAAACGGCGACAAAAGCGUUUGGUAACUACGUUUUGCUUCACCUAUUUCAAGGAAUAGAAAUUUAGAUUUAUUUUGAUUUCUGGUUCAAUAAACAGUUUUGACGAGACGACUCACACGUUUUGCCGUCUUCAGAAACAAUUUUCACUCAAAAAAAAAACCCACCCCCAAUAAAAAUCACUCUUCCUAUUUCGAAAAAGGAAAGCACAGAAGAGGCAAUAGCAAGCCUGUACACCUCCUCCCACCUUCGACUACAUCCACAUAGCAACGAUUCCCUCUGUAUUUACCAAAUUCGUUGUGCGAUUGCGCUCUCAUGAAGGCAAAGGAGUUGUCUUCUCAAGUUGCAGAGAUUCGUCGUACAUUCGCGCUCCCAUGAAGAUGUACCGCUGCAAGAGAAACGGCAAAAAAGAGCUUUAAAUCCUCCAAUUGUUCAACCUAACUUCGUUGUGCGACUGGAUUUUCUUGGGAAGCAUUUCAGCUGUUGGGUGCCCUAGUUUUUGGAAUCAAUUUUGCCGGUCUCUUUUACCUUUGAUUGUUCAACCUAACUUCUUUGUGCGACUGGAUUGAGUGGGAAGCAUUUCAGUCGUUGGAUGCCCUAGGUUUCUCAAGGUAUGUUAAAUCCUAUGGUACUAGAGUGAUCUGCUACCACUGGUUUUUGGAGAUCUUUAGGCCUUUGUUUGUUUUAAAGAUUCAAGAAUGGAUCUGUCUUCAUAAACUCUGUGCCAACUUCUAUCAUGAUCUGUAGGAUGUUUGCAUUUCUUGUUGGCUAGGUUGCAGUAGAACUUACUCUCUAAAACUUUUUGAUUAAUUUCAUGGGUUAUUAUAACCAUGUACUAAAGCCUAAUUAACUGGUCGAGUUAUACUAAAAAAAUCCCAAAUCUCUCAAUAAGAAGGGCAAGCAGGAAGGCAGGCAAGCAGGCAUGCAGGCAUAUUACCCCUUUUGCUGGGUCCAUUGACAUGCCCGAGCCCAAGGUCAGGAAACUGGGCUUCAGAUCAACUGAAAAUCAUUCUUCUAACCAUUUUUUAUGAGAACAUAUCGUAAAAAAUUGAGAGUAUAUAGUUAAUAUUCAGUUGAUAUGUAGGAAGAAAAUUUAGAGAUUUGAUGUUUAUAUUAAAUAUAUGGGUAUGAAGGAUUUCAGAGUUUAGAUUGUUAUAUUCAGUCAAUUAUUGGUUAUAAUCUUUACACAGAGGAAGUUGGAUGAAAGAGAAAAUAAUACUAGUAGUCUAGUAAUAAGGAUGAUGCUUUGUCAUGUAGAAUUUUGAAGAAAGAACACAUCAAAAUUGUUAGCUUAAAUUGUUCUUUUCCACUACUUGCUUCUUGUCAAAUGGCAUUAACAGAAAAGUAGGCUGAAACACACUUUACUCAAAGAUGCUAGUUUUAUUGAUGCACCUGGUUGGGCCGAGACACCACAGGUUGCUAAUGAUUACUGAUUACUAUAGAAAGAGGGUUAAAUUUUUCUGCUAUUUCAAUUGCCUAUAGGUCUGGUUUGGAAAUAAUUUUUGAGGUGUUAAUCUAACAGAGUUCAUACUAUGUCCUUGUUAUAAUUAACUCUCUCUAUCCUUUACUUGGACAAUUCUGUCAAAUCCCUUUUUCACGCUUUUGUUGUUGUGUUGCUCACUCACUUCCAUAUUUCAUAAUGAUGUACAUGUUGUGGUGAGUGUUAGAGUGUUUGUUCUCAUUGUUACUAAUAAUUUCAAGGGAAGCCAUAUCCAAUUUUUGGAAGCCCCAUUUUUCUCUAUAAAUGGUGAUUGGUCAUUUCUUAUUUUUGUUUUUAACCUUCCCUCCACCCACACCAUUAUCAUUCUUUUUUAUGCUUAGUGAAAACUGUCUGCCACAAUUACAUCCAGGGUUUCAUUCAUAAUUUUCAGGUUUGAAAUAUUUUUGUGGAAACUAUGUUUUAUUUGUUGCCAAUAUCUAUUCUUCUCUAGUGAUUAAAUGUUAAUACAAUGUGAGGUACUCCAUUUUUAUGCCCAAGAUUCAUAAGAUGUGAAGCCUUUACUAUCAUAUUUAUGAAUUGGUGCCAUAUGUCAGUGUUUCAAACCUUCUAUGAGUUUGAUCCUGUAAAUUCUACUUAUUAUCUUAAAUUCUCUAUCUCUCAGUACCUCAAAGUAAUCUUUGACAUCAAUGCUUUGCUUCAAAAAAAAAAGUAAGUUGGCUUUUAACCUAUCAAAAUUGAAAGGGUAUGAUCACACAGAACGUUAUGUGUGCAUGUUCAUUUGACAUGUGAUUCACGUUUGUGUAUACGGGAUGGGAAGGUAGUGCACAUGACACCAGGUUUUUAAAGAAACAAGAACAAAUAAUACCCUGGGGUUCCCUCAUUUGCCACCAGGCAAGUAUAAUGCGGUUGACUCGGGCUAUGCAAAUCAACUGGGGUAUUUGGUGUCAUUUCGGGGAGAAAGGAAGCACUUACAGGAUUAUGGUGAGGGUAGACCUGGGCCUAGAACAGUAAAUGAAUUGUUCAAUCACAGACACUCGUCACUGUGGAAUAUUAUUAAAAGAACAUUCGAUAUUUUAAGGAGUAUGAAGCCAUAUGAUAUAGAAGAUCAAACAAGAAUCAUAAUCGCUUAUUGUGGGCUCCACAAUUACAUCAAGGAACAGGCAAUUCAAGAUCAAUUAUUUAAUGAGUUUGGAAGUGAACAACUUAUUGAGGACCCUAUGAAUCCCGAUCCUAUGGUGUACCGUGCUUCAACUUUCGAUACGACCCAGAGACACUCAACGAGAGAAAUGUCAGUACGCCUAAAUAUAGCUAAUCAAUUGGCUAGAUCAAGGAGAAUGGCUACGAUUCCGUUAGGUGGAUCGUAAAUUUUAUCGAUGAUAGUGGAUGUGUUAUACAUUUGUCAAAGUUUUGAGUAAUGUAACAUGCAGGUUAAUGUACUUAACUUACUUGAUAAUGUUGUUGUUUCCAUAGUAUUAUUUAUA